GGGAAAUACAUGUUUUAUUUUACAAAAGAGUUGUUAUAAUUUUGUUAAAACUUAGUAAACACUGAAGCUACCGUCUCGUCGUGGAGGUAUUUGUCAGCAUUGAGGUUAGCCUAGCAUCGUGUGACACUGGGAGAUAAUUGCUUGGGAAGCUUAACGAGUUCGUGUUCCCAUGGGAUAUCGGUUACGGCUAAGGAGUACUGUCUGCAUGGGUAGCUGUGCUUGCCUUGGACUUUGUGAGGAAACCUGCAUGGAACUGCCAUACUUCGCUGAGGGAAUAUCUACCAAGCAGGGGAAACAGCUGAGCAGGAGAGCUGUGCCGAAAACACAAAAGGAACGCCCUCUCAAUCUCUUGUGACGGAAAUAAUGGAGAAAUGUGUUGGACGGACGAAUCAGCGGUUUAUGUGUGUCCGAUCCUGUGAUAGGCCAGACAGCUUGCUGACACAGAGGAGAGGAACAAGAUAACAGUAGAAAAAUCACAUCAACUCAGACAAUCAGUCUGUUCUGUCUCUGACUCCCCCCACUCUUACCAACCUGCCAAGGGAAUUUGCUGUAAAUGAAAUGUCUUUACAAAAACAUAGAAGAAUACAGAUAUUGUGUCUCGUCAGCGAGAGCAAACACUGGGAUUGAAACACGUAUACGUUUAAGGUUGACUGCACAUAACUUUCACGCUUCCAGAAGUCUCCAAAUUACUCAGAUGCAGACACUAUAGUCUUGUGUAUCCAGAAGGUGUAAUGUCAUGUUAGCUCUCCGCUCAAUAAGUAUUAGCAAGGUAACAUAGUACAUGUUGUAUGUUUUAGCUACUUAGUUAACAUUCUCAUUGUUUAUCACUGUUAAAGUUUGGUCAUUUUUUUUCAAUGAUGACCCCCAAAGAUACCCAUUUGUUAUUGUCAAAAAACAGCCUCAGUCUUUGGCUAAGUUCCCUGGGGAAAAAAAUUAUUAACACCGUUUAGUUUGACAAGGCUGGUAUCCUCCAACAUAGUAUUCUCACAGUUUUAGCCCAACAAUGCAUCUGAAUCCCACCGGCAUCGCAAGGGAAAAGCCUGGGAAUCUAUCCUUCUACUCCACUGACCAGUGCAGUACCUCAGUUUCCUCUGCACUACUUUAUUCAAUUUACCCUCCACCAGAUGAAGAUUACGAGAUAAGGGAAGACAACAAUGGAUUGUUCUCCCAAGUCAGUUUGCUUUGCAGCCCCUUCUGGACAGCAGUAAACCAGCCCAUAGCUGUCACUCUGCUGAUAACAAUGUUACGGUUUGGGGAGGACUGCUUUUUUCCUUCCUGAAAGUAAAGGUGACCCUGGACUCACAGUGUGAUGGCAGGAGUGAACAUUGAGUUCGGGGGUGUGUGUGAUUGACAUUUGGCUACAUGAUAUGAGACUUGUGGACAUUCUGCUCAGUUGAAAAUCAGAGAAAGUGAGUGUUGGGGGAUGUUUGACAAUUCCAUGUGUGAUUUUCUUAGACUGAAGUUGAAAUGUGAUACUUUUGUUUGCCUUAGGUGCCCACUUUCAUUUAAAUUCCAUUCAUGAAUUGGUUGCUUGUAUGCUGAUAAACUGACCCUGUAUUUGAACAACCACUUGGGUAUUGAAGACCCAGUUUUAACAUAACCCACCUGAAUAAAAUGCUAACAAAACUGUGAAACUAUUAGUAUCAUUUGACGGGUGGAGUUCUUCGGCCAAAUCUGCAAGACAGAAACCGCCAGUGGCUGGCUGAGUUGGGGAAGAAUGAAUUGUAAAUCAGAUGUCAACAAAGGCC
Molecule: long non-coding RNA, 1748 nt
Filed under: Salmo salar (Atlantic salmon)
Lineage: Eukaryota; Metazoa; Chordata; Actinopteri; Salmoniformes; Salmonidae
Description: lncRNA (ENSSSAG00000121864.1)
Source: RNAcentral